GAUGAACGCUGGCGGCGUGCCUAAUACAUGCAAGUAGAACGCUGAAGCUUGGUGCUUGCACCGAGCGGAUGAGUUGCAAACGGGUGAGUAACGCGUAGGUAACCUGCCUCUUAGCGGGGGAUAACUAUUGGAAACGAUAGCUAAUACCGCAUAAAAGUUGACAUUGCAUGAUGUUGAUUUGAAAGAUGCAAUUGCAUCACUAAGAGAUGGACCUGCGUUGUAUUAGCUAGUUGGUGAAGUAACGGCUCACCAAGGCGACGAUACAUAGCCGACCUGAGAGGGUGAUCGGCCACACUGGGACUGAGACACGGCCCAGACUCCUACGGGAGGCAGCAGUAGGGAAUCUUCGGCAAUGGACGGAAGUCUGACCGAGCAACGCCGCGUGAGUGAAGAAGGUUUUCGGAUCGUAAAGCUCUGUUGUAAGAGAAGAAAGAGUGUGAGAGUGGAAAGUUCACACUGUGACGGUAACUUAACAGAAAGGGACGGCUAACUACGUG
Molecule: ribosomal RNA, 497 nt
Filed under: uncultured bacterium
Lineage: Bacteria
Description: partial 16S ribosomal RNA
Rfam family: Bacterial small subunit ribosomal RNA
Source: RNAcentral